Molecule: ribosomal RNA, 1377 nt
Filed under: uncultured bacterium
Lineage: Bacteria
Description: 16S ribosomal RNA
Rfam family: Bacterial small subunit ribosomal RNA
Source: RNAcentral
AGAGUUUGAUCCUGGCUCAGAUUGAACGCUGGCGGCAGGCCUAACACAUGCAAGUCGAGCGGUAGAGAGGAGCUUGCUCCUCUUGAGAGCGGCGGACGGGUGAGUAAUGCCUAGGAAUCUGCCUGGUAGUGGGGGAUAACGUUCGGAAACGGACGCUAAUACCGCAUACGUCCUACGGGAGAAAGCAGGGGACCUUCGGGCCUUGCGCUAUCAGAUGAGCCUAGGUCGGAUUAGCUAGUUGGUGAGGUAAUGGCUCACCAAGGCGACGAUCCGUAACUGGUCUGAGAGGAUGAUCAGUCACACUGGAACUGAGACACGGUCCAGACUCCUACGGGAGGCAGCAGUGGGGAAUAUUGGACAAUGGGCGAAAGCCUGAUCCAGCCAUGCCGCGUGUGUGAAGAAGGUCUUCGGAUUGUAAAGCACCUUAAGUUGGGAGGAAGGGCAGUAAAUUAAUACUUUGCUGUUUUGACGUUACCGACAGAAUAAGCACCGGCUAACUCUGUGCCAGCAGCCGCGGUAAUACAGAGGGUGCAAGCGUUAAUCGGAAUUACUGGGCGUAAAGCGCGCGUAGGUGGUUUGUUAAGUUGGAUGUGAAAUCCCCGGGCUCAACCUGGGAACUGCAUUCAAAACUGACUGACUAGAGUAUGGUAGAGGGUGGUGGAAUUUCCUGUGUAGCGGUGAAAUGCGUAGAUAUAGGAAGGAACACCAGUGGCGAAGGCGACCACCUGGACUAAUACUGACACUGAGGUGCGAAAGCGUGGGAGCAAACAGGAUUAGAUACCCUGGUAGUCCACGCCGUAAACGAUGUCAACUAGCCGUUGGAAGCCUUGAGCUUUUAGUGGCGCAGCUAACGCAUUAAGUUGACCGCCUGGGGAGUACGGCCGCAAGGUUAAAACUCAAAUGAAUUGACGGGGGCCCGCACAAGCGGUGGAGCAUGUGGUUUAAUUCGAAGCAACGCGAAGAACCUUACCAGGCCUUGACAUCCAAUGAACUUUCUAGAGAUAGAUUGGUGCCUUCGGGAACAUUGAGACAGGUGCUGCAUGGCUGUCGUCAGCUCGUGUCGUGAGAUGUUGGGUUAAGUCCCGUAACGAGCGCAACCCUUGUCCUUAGUUACCAGCACGUCAUGGUGGGCACUCUAAGGAGACUGCCGGUGACAAACCGGAGGAAGGUGGGGAUGACGUCAAGUCAUCAUGGCCCUUACGGCCUGGGCUACACACGUGCUACAAUGGUCGGUACAGAGGGUUGCCAAGCCGCGAGGUGGAGCUAAUCCCACAAAACCGAUCGUAGUCCGGAUCGCAGUCUGCAACUCGACUGCGUGAAGUCGGAAUCGCUAGUAAUCAAGAAUCAGAAUGUCGCGGUGAAUACGUUCCCGGGCCU